CAGGCACAUUUAUGAAUGAGCUUUUCAUGGAUACUGCUCCAACAAAGGUCACUCAGUGAGCAUGGAACUGGAGCAAAGGGAGACGGAGGAUCUCAGUGGAU
Molecule: long non-coding RNA, 101 nt
Organism: Lemur catta (Ring-tailed lemur)
Lineage: Eukaryota; Metazoa; Chordata; Mammalia; Primates; Lemuridae
Exons: 3
Source: RefSeq, a predicted model, not a curated record